Molecule: unclassified non-coding RNA, 202 nt
Filed under: plant metagenome
Description: partial contains small subunit ribosomal RNA, internal transcribed spacer 1, and 5.8S ribosomal RNA
Source: RNAcentral
UCUCCGUUGGUGAACCAGCGGAGGGAUCAUUAUCGAGUUAUUCAACUCCCAAACCCUAUGUGAACUUACCACUUGUUGCUUCGGCGCGCGCUUCGGCGCCGCCGAGGACACUUAGACUCUUUGUAUUUAUAAGCAUUUCUGAGUGGCCGAAAGGCAAAAUACAAAUGAAUCAAAACUCUCAACAACGGAUCUCUUGGUUCUG